GCGGUGGAGCAUGUGGUUUAAUUCGACGCAACGCGAAGAACCUUACCCAGGCUUGAACUGCGGAGGACACUCUACGAAAGUAGACUUCCGCAAGGACCUCUGUAGAGGUGCUGCAUGGCUGUCGUCAGCUCGUGUCGUGAGAUGUUGGGUUAAGUCCCGCAACGAGCGCAACCCUUGUCUUCUGUUGCCAUCGGGUCAAGCCGGGCACUCUGAAGAGACUGCCGGUGACAAACCGGAGGAAGGUGGGGAUGACGUCAAGUCAGCAUGGCCUUUAUGUCUGGGGCCACACACGUGCUACAAUGGCCGGUACAAACCGUCGCGAGCCCGCGAGGGGGAGCUAAUCGGAGAAAGCCGGUCUCAGUUCGGAUUGUAGGCUGCAACUCGCCUGCAUGAAGUUGGAAUCGCUAGUAAUCGCGGAUCAGCACGCCGCGGUGAAUACGUUCCCGGGCCUUGUACACACCGCCCGUCACAUCACGAAAGCUGGCUGUACUAGAAGUAGCUGAGCCAACCCGCAAGGGAGGCAAGUUCCUAAGGUAUGGUCAGUGAUUGGGGUGAGGUCGUAACAAGGUAGCUGUAGGAGAACCUGCGGCUGGAUCACCUCCUUA
Molecule: ribosomal RNA, 605 nt
Filed under: uncultured bacterium
Lineage: Bacteria
Description: bacterial SSU rRNA
Rfam family: Bacterial small subunit ribosomal RNA
Source: RNAcentral